GAUGAACGCUGGCGGCGUGCCUAAUACAUGCAAGUCGAGCGAACAGACGAGGAGCUUGCUCCUCUGACGUUAGCGGCGGACGGGUGAGUAACACGUGGAUAACCUACCUAUAAGACUGGGAUAACUUCGGGAAACCGGAGCUAAUACCGGAUAAUAUAUUGAACCGCAUGGUUCAAUAGUGAAAGACGGUUUUGCUGUCACUUAUAGAUGGAUCCGCGCCGCAUUAGCUAGUUGGUAAGGUAACGGCUUACCAAGGCAACGAUGCGUAGCCGACCUGAGAGGGUGAUCGGCCACACUGGAACUGAGACACGGUCCAGACUCCUACGGGAGGCAGCAGUAGGGAAUCUUCCGCAAUGGGCGAAAGCCUGACGGAGCAACGCCGCGUGAGUGAUGAAGGUCUUCGGAUCGUAAAACUCUGUUAUUAGGGAAGAACAAAUGUGUAAGUAACUAUGCACGUCUUGACGGUUCCUAACCAGAAAGCCACGGCUAACUACGUG
Molecule: ribosomal RNA, 497 nt
Filed under: uncultured bacterium
Lineage: Bacteria
Description: partial 16S ribosomal RNA
Rfam family: Bacterial small subunit ribosomal RNA
Source: RNAcentral